UUAAAUUUCCGUUAAUUAAAAGAUAAAAAGUCCUAAAUACCCCCAGUUAUUUUGWUUACCGAUUAAAAUUACGAAAAUAACUCUAUCAUCUAUUUCCACCAAUGCAAGUGGUAACCAUGCUGAUACUUGCAUUUACAGAGAAUCCGAAAACCUGCUCCCUCAUGCCGGUGGUGUCAGGCGAAUGCGCCACCGGAGAAGAGGACUUCCGGAGCCGAAGAGACAACCAGGGCCAACUGGACGCGACGGCGGCGUUUCAUCACCGCUGCAACCUACAACUUGUCACGGCAGUGCGGGGACCUGAAAUCGGUUGGGACCGGAGCCAGAAAUGAUGCCUUAGCAGAUCCGGAUCGGGGACCUAAAAUCGGUUUUGCCUCCUGCUGCCGUGCGGUCCGAUGUAUACGUCGGAUCUGUGUGUUCACUCUCCCCUUCUCCUAGUGCUCUUCCGUUACCAAAUUUUUCGAAGAAAAAAGACGGCCCUGCGAUCGUCGACGAUUCGGCAACAAAAGAUCUGAGGCGUCUGCUUCGACUUGACCAAUUAAAUUAUUCUCACAGGAUUAAACAGGUAUUUAGAUCUGGACCUGACUCUAAGUUCGAGAUAUGGAUCAAGAUCAAGAUACUCCUCUUUCUCCGUUUCGUUUCGAUCUCGUCUCUCAUGUUCUUCAGAUCUGUGACUUCUCGUGCUUUCUCGUUAGUUCUAAACCAACAAAUAAGUGAUAUUGACGAAACGUGCAAAACAUAAAUGGGGCUUGACUGGAUACCAUGUGAAAUGAAAUUAUUAUGCUCCAUUAAACUUUGGGUAGCAUUAAGCUUGAGAACUGGCCAAGAAAUGAUGAGAUAUCAAGAUCGAACGCGCUGGGAGAAGGAAUUUUCGGCUAUGGACGCCAUUAUGUAUGGAAUUUUGAAGAAGACGGAAAUUUUUUCCCAAUCGUCAUGAAGAAGACAGAAAUUUUGAACUUGUCUCUCACGAUUUUUCGACUUCGGGCAAUAAAGACGAGAAACAGGAGUCGUCCUCCGGCAA
Molecule: long non-coding RNA, 1018 nt
Organism: Nelumbo nucifera (sacred lotus)
Lineage: Eukaryota; Viridiplantae; Streptophyta; Magnoliopsida; Proteales; Nelumbonaceae
Source: RefSeq, a predicted model, not a curated record